Molecule: long non-coding RNA, 7246 nt
Organism: Molossus molossus (Pallas's mastiff bat)
Lineage: Eukaryota; Metazoa; Chordata; Mammalia; Chiroptera; Molossidae
Exons: 5
Source: RefSeq, a predicted model, not a curated record
AUGUGCUUAAAUGCCACCACUCUGCUUAUGUCACUAUGUGACACACCCUUCCUACUUUAUAUAAACCCAGGGUCCUUGAGCAGUUAAUGUGCAUAAAUGCCACCACUGUUCUUAUGUAGUCUUAUGUCACCAUAAAGGUACCCUUCCUCACUUUGCAUUACAACAGAGGGUCCUUGGGCAGUUAAUGUCCCUAAAUGGAAUUAUUGUGUUUAUGUCUGUAUAACACCCUCACUUUGCAUAAAAACAGGGUCCUUGGGACAGUUAAUUUGCUUAAUUCACCACUGUCCUUAUAUUAAUUUAGAACCCAAUGGUCCUCACUCUGCAUGAAAAGUGUGGGUCCUUGGACAGUUAAUGUGCUUUAAUGCACCACUGUAAUUAUGUCACUGUGGGACCCACCCUUCCACACUUUGCAUAACAACAGGGUCCUUGGGCAGUUCAUGUCCAUAAAUGCUGACCCAGUCCUUAUGUCACUAUAGAACCCACCCACCCUCGCUUUGAAUAAAAACAAGUUACUUGGGACAGGUAAUGUGCUUAUAUUGGCUACUGUCUCUACUGUUACUCUGGAUCCUGUAUACUCCCAUCCCUGUGCAUUUUCUGGCAGCCAAUUUGGUAUUGAAAUGUACUUAAAUGCAGCUGUGAUUACUGCAGCUGUGAUACCUGUAACUGAUACCUUUUGUUUGUCUGUUUUCCAUCUCCUCUAGGUCCUUUUGCCACAUAGGAGAUGGUAGUUAGGCCCGUCAAUGGGGUUAAUUAAAGCUGCUAUCCCUUCUGGUAGUCCAGCAUCCCAUGCACUCCAAGUGUGUUUACGUUUACUAGGAGUGUAUUUGGUUAUGCAAAGUUGCCUAAGUGCAGCAAUGGACUCUUUUCUUUGUCUAGAUUCCCAUGUACCCCCCAGUCUUAUUACAAUUGCCAGUAGGGCAUUUGACACUGUCAGUGUGCUUAACUGACGAUUUCCCUUCUGUAAUUCCAGGAUCACUUCCUGCCCUUUUACCUUUACAUCACCUAGGAGGGUUUUUGGAACUGUUAAAAGCAGUUAUUUGGCAGCAACUGUCCCUUUUGUCAGUCUGGGAUCCCAUGACUUCCAUCUCACUUUGCAUUACAAUAGGUCCAUAACAUUGGACUGUUAAUAUGCUUAGAGGCAGCUGUGGUCCCUUCACUUAGUCUGGGAUCCAUGUCCUGAAGCAUGUUUUGUAUAUGGCGUCCUUAGGACUGUGAAUGUGUUUAAAUACAGGUGUGGUCCCUUUUGUUUAGGAACAUAUGAUCUUUUGCUUUCUUUAUAUCACCUGGAGACUUAAAAGUUUAAUUGUAGCUGUGGUCUCUUGUUAAUCUAACAUUUCAUUUUCUCCCUACCUAGUUUGCAUUACAACACAGGGUACUUGGGACUGUGAAGGUGUAUCCCUUACAGUCAUAUCUGAUAACAGAAGAGGACCUGAACUCCAAGGCCCCUUUUGCACUGUUAAUGUACACUUUGCUUUAGUCCUGUCUCCUCUGCAGUAGACAUGGCCCUCACUCAUUUUCCUUAUUCAGCAGUGGAUGCCCUUUACUAAGGACCUUUAUACUAGUAUAGUUAAAGUGAGUCAUGAUCACUGACCACGACUAUGUCUUUUAUUUAAGGUCCCUGUACCCUCUUCAUUUUACAAGAAGGUGUAUUAAUUACCUGUUACUUUCCCCCCGCAACUAUUUAUGUGCAGAAUUUCCGUAUUUAUGGCCCCCUCCUUUAAACGGAUACCCCAUUGUUUCUAUAUUAUGGCACGGGAUGCUAGAGACCCAAAGUUCUUCUCUUGGGACUCUUAAUGUGCAUAUUCUCUGCUGUUAAGGUAAUAUCCUGCCUUCUUUGUAGCAGAGAUUGCUGACCUUAAAGCCCUCUCUUGUGCAUAUGUUUAAUUAGUUGUCCAUGAUCCUUUGAAUUAACUUGGGUUCCUGACUCUUCAUACCCUGCUUGGUUUACUGUGUGGAGUACUGUCCACUUAAGGCCCCUUUCUCAAACUGUUAAUGUGUAUAAUAAUUACAUUAGGAUCCUUCCUCUUCUCACUCCCUUUGAAGUGCCACAAGGACUCUGCAAAUGUUAAUGGGCACAAUGGCAACUAGCAAUGGGUUUUUCCUCCCUGGCUUCAAUUUCUCGUGGCAUCCUAAAUUAUAAACAUUGCAGUAUGCCCUUAACUUAUUCUCCAAACAGCAAUCCAUACUCCCGCUCCUUUUGCAUUACUCCAGGCCAUGCUCCCAAGUAGUCAUGGUCUUGCCCUUAUCUUCCCUCUCCCCACUUCCUGCCUAUAAUUGGACCCUUCUUUUGGACCAUUAAUAAUCAACAAUUUCAGGUAUCCAUGCAUCCAGCCGUUAGAUAAUAUUGUGGUCCAUCAUCUUUCCUGCCCCUUCCCUACCCUGCCCCUUUUGCAUUGUCGGUGGGGAAUGUUGACUGGGCAAGGCCCUUUAACUUGAACUUAAAUCUUAACAAUCCCAGAUGUUACUGGUUUACCCAGUUUAAAUUGCUGUGGUGCUUCAGUUGCACUUUCCUUGGUCCCGCCCAUCUGACAUGGACCCCUCUGCUUCCUAUUUUGCAUUGCUUCUAAGUAAUGCUGACUACCCAAAGGCCUUUCUGUGUUGUUAACACAGUACUGAUUGUCCCAUUCCCCCGCCCAUCAGCCCAACACCUCCCUACCACUUUGAUGUUGUAUUUGUGCAGUGUUGAUUACCAAAAGCAGGCCUGAACUAGGGGAUGGGCCUUCGCUCCUUUUCUUGUCCCAUUCUUGGGCAGGAGCUAUUUAAAUUAAUGAAUUGAAAUUAUUGUCCCAUUCUUGGGCAGACAGGAGCUAUCUGCCCACCUCUGUUGCUACUUGACUAGGCAAAAGGUUCAAGGCAAGUGAAGCCCAAGCAGCUGGAUUGCCACCCUUUACAUGCUGGAUUUCCAAUAUAUAUAAGUAUCAGUUGAGAGUUGUCUCUCCAGGAAGGAACGUUAGCACUGUCUCUGUGUUUUUCCUUCUAAAGCAGGUUGCCUGUCUAAGAAUCUCUCCUCUUGUAUCUUGCUGUUCUACAGAGUCAAUUGGCAGGAUACAACCAAAAAGUGACUGUUAAACUCUUUAUUAAGACAGACAUCUGGAUUGCAAGGUGGAAUUGAUAACCUGGUCAUUAAAUUUUUAAACUUAAAAAUGCAUUUAUACCUUGUACCUGAUGACCAGUGUCUCUCAUUUUACUAAAGGCUGGUGGGUCUGUGGAUAGACCACUGUGACUCUUGCUAUACCAAAGGAGUUCUAGAAUGGAACUCGUAAGACCAGUAUCUUUGGGCUCUACCACCAUUUUAAAACCAUGCCUUCUUUGGGCUUUACCACCAUUCACUUUUUAAAAAACUACCUAAAUUUUUUAAUCCUUAAAUAUCUUCAUCUGGAACAUCAACCAGCCCCUACUUGUUUCAAGAAGAUUACUGUAAAAGGAUGAAAUGAGACAACAUAUACUGAGGUACUUUUGAAAGUCAUAGAUCACCUUACUUGCAAAGUCUAUUACAUAAAACACACUGUUUAAUUGUGCUCAUUUAAAGGAGGCUUAAGCACCCCACUGAAAUGAGGACUUAAAAAUUAUGGGAUUUGUUUCCCUAUUUUUAUAUCAAAAGAAUAAGCCAAGAUCUAAUCAUUCUUCUUGACAUAAAUGUGACAGCGUGCUGUGUGGUAAAAACGAGUAGCGUGGCCUGUAGUGUACAGGGUGUGGUUGCAGAGAAUUCCUUAAUAAGGAACUACUGGAGCAAAUAACUAGUUGUCACAACAGCAGUUUUUUGUAAUUACUGAAAAGGGAUACUAUAAGGUCAGCCCAGGUCAGGGUGCAGUUUGUACUUCUAGCUCCUUGGACAGCUGUAAGAAGAGUCUCUGGCUCUUUAGAAUACUGAUAUUCUGAGCAUGUGAGAUCUGAAGACUACAAGCAACUCUAAGAAGGUCCAUACUCAGCAGAUCUUUCCUUUUGAGAAUCUGGAUAAACUCCAGCUAAUCUAAGGAUGGCUUGCAGACCACCUGGAGAAAAAGGUCUUCCUCAGAAGAAUAGGCUUGCUGCUUUACAGUGUUAGUGACCUAUUCCCUUUGACGAUCCCUAGGUGGAGAUGGGGCAUGAGGAUCCUCCAGGGGAAAAGCUCACUACCACUGGGCAACAACCCUAGGCUAGGAGGUUCUACCAUGAUUCUUUCCUGGGUCCGGAUAGGAAGGUGAAGUCGCAAGACAUUCUGCACACAUCAGACUCCUGAUUGUUCCCUUUGUAUCUACCAAAUCGUUACCUUUCUCAAAAGCAAUGAAGAGAGCAAGAAAUUUGAAUACAGCAAAGGAAGAUCAACGUGCCUGGCACUCUGUCCUAGAACAGCAGAGCGAAAGUCAUUUGUGCCUUGUCUUAGAUGUCUCUCUUUUCAUUUUGUUACUAAUUGUCUUUGUUCUCCUAGAUCUGGCUCUUCUUUCACUGUUCUUCCCGUUGUGUCUCUGAGUCACAUGCUGUGUGCUUUUUGCUCAUUCCUUGUCUUGUCUACCUCUCUUUGUUCUUUGUGAACUCUGAUUGUUUGUCACCCCCGCCCCUUUUGUUAGUUUGAUGUUUUGCUUUUUUCUGAUUCUGGCCUCCCUUCUGCUUUUUCUACUCUACAUCUUGGAUUUCUCUUUUCUAUAUGUCCUUUCUGCCUCUCUUGGGCCAUUUUCUCUUCUUUUUUCCUGCUGUGUGCCUCAGUGUCUCUUUGUUCUAUGUGACUAUCCAUUUCACCUUUCCUCUCUCUAUUCUAUUGUUUCUUUGCUUUUCCCCUUCUACCCACCUUUGGGUAUUUCAGCCUCUUCAUGAGUCUUGUCUCCUCCUCUGAUUUCCUGCAAUCCUCUCUUUUCUUCUUGCACACUUUUUGUCCAUCUGUGUGUGUACACCAAUGUGUGUAUGUUUGUGUGUUUGUGAGAAAGGGGCUUCCUAACCCCUUCUCAAUAGGUGCAGAGUCUGCUGUCAAAAUAAGCAUUGCAGAGCUGUUCCUUAUGCCAGGACGUCCUGUGAGAUCAUCCAAAACUAAUAGAAGGCCCAAGGAUCCAAAGACCUAAGAUGGACAGAUGGUAGAAAGCCUAUAAUGGAUAGAAGUUCCAACGUAGAAGACAUGGUCUGAGACUUGAGACCUAUGGACUAAAACAGAAAACCUGUGUCCCCAUCAGAAGCCUCGAGCCAUGAUGUGUAUACAGAAGGUGGCCCUUGUUGGACAGAAGACUGGACUGAAUUGGAUAGAAGUCUCAUGUCUUGAGUUAGACAGAGGCUGAAGACCCAGGUUGAGAGGACAAAGGCCUAAGAGCCAGGGACACAUGUAAAGCCUGAGAUGUAAGACAGACAUUUUAAGACUAAAUUAGGUGGGAAGCUGGAGUCCCACGACUCAGAAUCCAGGAAGGCUUGAAAUCCCCAAACCAGAGGAAAUCCCAGUGUGAGAGCCCCAAAGCUCUUUUCUAUUGUUACCCUCCUCCAUAUUCUCCCUUUCCAGUUUUCAUAUCUCCAUUUAAGCCCACUUAUUUUGAAAUGUCCUUCUUGAUGCUGUUGUUACUUUGAAGAAGAGAUAUCUUGAGAUUGGUGAUAUUAUGCCUGGGCCAAUCUAAGGCAGUUUUUAUCAUAGUUUUGAGUCAUUUAUUGUUUUAGGUUUUGUUAAAGAGUACAUUUCUUUUCACCUCCACUCCAUUUGAGAGACACACAUAGGUGAAACUGUAUUUCAGUCUUCCCUUUUGCUCGGAAGCUCUAAAGAGGAAAACAUUAGGCUAUUGGGUGAACAGUGCCAGGUUAUCUAGAGAAGAUGUGAAGAGAUGCUCCAGGCCGAUGAGAACCGUUAGUCAAGAAAUACACUGAUGUGCCAGCAUGCUGAGAGGCAUCAGCCUGCGAUACCUGACUUCUUUGAGCUUGGUGAGCAGGAUUCCUGGGGUUUGGGAUUCCUAGUGAUGGUUACACAAAAGAAUGAGUGGGCCUGGUACAGAGGUGAGGCCCCAAGGAGACAGCCUGAACUCCCUGCUCAUAGUAGUGGCCUAAUAAUUCGGUAGGACUGCACCAACCCUGCCCUUGGGUUGAAUACCAACCUCCAAGCUUAAAGAUGACAAAUUUGGAAGUACUUAGUAGGUAUAAAUCUUUCCUUGAUUUUUUUUAACCCCCUUUCCAUGAGGAAAGAUCAUUUAAAUGACUGAGAAUACAUAUGAAAGCAAGGUAUUCUCAUGAAUUGUGUACUGGCAGCUAUACACAGCUAGUAUUUGAAAGUACGCUGUCAGUUGUGACGUGUUAUGUAUGUCAGGAAUCACCACGGCCUGUGCUAGGCACUAAAGACUCGAUGAUUAUUUGUCAUCACAUCCAGGUGACCUGAAUAAAAAUGUGUGACUCUGCUUUUAAACUAUGCAAGUGCUUAAAGCCUUACCAGUUUCAGAGUUGAUAAAUGAAUAUUGAUUACAUAGAAUAUACUUUCUACUGUCUAGAUACUGUGGAUACAAACAUUACAGGAAGCAUGAAUAAAGUGCUUUGUAAAAAUUAGGUAAUAAUAUGCUGAUAUUAGUAAUUAAGUGACUGGUAAAUUAAGAAUUUAUAUUUAUAGCCAUCAUGUUUCUGCUGCUUUGGUGAUUUGAGUAAAAACAUAGUCUUUCAGGUAGCAGAAAACACAUGGAAACUGCUUUUAAACUAUAAAAUACACAGCAAACUCAACGGAUUAAGCUAUUGUGAUGACUUAUAAUGUGCCAGAUAAUAUGCGAGGCACUGUGAUUAAUGAAGGGGCGAAAUAUAUUCUCAAUAUAGAAUUAAAAAUUUUAUAUAAGUGCAUUUUAAAGUGGUUUGUAACUAAAGCACUAUCAAUGGGCUAAAUGUUUAUGAAUGAAUGAAAAAGUAAAUAUUAAUUGCCUCUUAUAUGCCAGCUAUUGUUUUGGAUUCUGUGAAAUCUAAGAUAAUGCUCCCAAGUAAAAAAAAAGGGAGGUUUAGCUCUGGCCAGUUUGGCUCAGUGGUUGGAGCAUCGGCCUGUGGACCAGAGUCCCGGGUUCGGUUCCCGCUAGGGGCACGUACCAGAAAAAAGGGCGAGGUUUAUGUUCUACAUAAUUUAGAUGUAAGGAAUUAGUUAUUGCUUAUUUUAAUCGAUCAAGACUUUACUAGAGAUGUCAGGUUACUACCAGUAUAUUUUCCCAGGUAACAAGAAAAUGUAAUGAGUGAGAUUGAGCUUUCUAAACUAUAAAGUACUGUAUAAAUAUAAGAAAUUAGCCCAGCCGGUGUGGCUCAGUGGUUGAGCGUUGACCCAUGUACCAAGAGGUCAUCA